CACGAGACAGGCAUCUGACUUUCUAGUGUCUAGGUCAAGGUCAUAGAAGCACGUGUUCGACCAUUAUGGCUGCCAAAAGGGAAGCCGGUUCCUUCAACACAAAAUGAAGGCUCCUGGCAGUGAGGGACACCACAGGGUGGCAGAACAAACUUGCCAGAUUGAAAGCGGAACCUUGUGUUUGCUGCUAUGUCAUUCACCAGGGGGGCUGUGAACUUGUGUGUUCUGUCUCACCAGCAAUGGGGGAGAAACAAAGCUCCCCUGUGUUGUUUAAUAUGCACCCUGACUGCCUCUCUCCUGGGUGUGGCACCUGCCACUUGUCACCAGAAAGGGCCACCAGGAGAGGAAGAAUUAGGACUUCAGAGCUGAUGCAUGCCAUUCAUGCUGACCUGCUUUGAACCGACCCUCCCCCCCCCCACCCCGAGACUUCUGGGCAGGAGGUGGGGAGCUUGACACAAAAUGAAGGCUCCUGGAAAGCUUUUUAGGAAGUCUAUAAUUCAGUGGCUUUUAGUAUAUUUACAGAGUUGAGGAACUGUCAGCAAAACCAGUCCAAGAAUGUUUUUGUCAUCCCCAGAGAAAUCCUCACCUUCUAGCAAUGCCCUACACCUUCUCGAUGUGGUCUCCUCCACCCCCAACCCCCAGCAGUGCUCAUCUAUUUUUGUCUGUAUAUUUGCCUGCUUUAUGUUUUGCACAGAUGGGAUCACAUCCCGGGCUCUCUUCUCUGUCUUUCAUUUAGCAUUGUGUUUUUGUUAUUUUUCCCUCAUUCCUCACAUGGUGCUGGAAAUGGAACCCAUGUGCUAGCCCAGUGCUCUACACCCUAGCUACACACCCAGGCUAAGCAAGGACCAGAGAGUGCAAAAAGUAGGUGGCUUAGGGGUUGUGUUAUAAGAGCAGACUCCGCCUACUGUGAAUUGAAGGUCACUUCUCCCCUUCAGUGUCCCCUCUGAGCGAAGUCUCCUAAGGUAUGUACGGAUCGUUUGCUUAUUUGAUUCCAAAUUCUAGAGUCCAAUUCUGCUUCCCUCUGGCCUGCUCUGCCCUCCAUGUGGGCACCCAUGUGUUUCUCAGGCUCCUGCAGCCUGCUGUGGCCUCUGGCCUGCUGCACCCAAAUGGACAUCUCCUUUCUCUCCUGAUCACUUCUGUCUCUUGUCCCCCAGGAGCUGCAGUCCUGCCUUGAGCAGCCUGAUCCAGGAGCUGCAGUCCCGACUGGGGCAGUCUGGAACUCUUUUUUUUUUUUUUCCUUGCUUCCUCCCACUUGGAGCUACCUGCUCUAUCCCUCUUUGUGCCUUCAGGGGCCUAUACUUUGCUAAUUUCCUUGCCUUCCCCUUAGGAGCUGUUUGCCCUGCUUCUCAGUUCCUGUUUGUUCCUCCUUGUCCCUUAACCAUUCCUCUCCUUGUCCUACUCCGUAAGUGUCUCUCUGGAUCCAUCUUCUACACCCUUAGGGAUCCCAUCACAUGGGCAAAGUUCUCUGUCAGCUCUGGCCUCCUACACCUAAAAGGGCCUCUCUACUAAAGACACUAUUGGCUCCCUCCCCUCCCCUGCACUCCCCUGGCUGUCUCUGGCUCCAGCCGGCAGAUCCCUAGCUUCAGCUCAGCUCCUCUUGGAGCUUAUAGGAACAUAUCCGAAUGGUGUUCUGUUGUGCAACCCCCCCCCCCUUCCUCCAGGGACUCAGGUUUUAUUUUAUUUCAGCCUGGCCUCAGGACAGAACAAUGGCCAAAAAUGGACAAAGUUGAUUUCCAAAAUCUCACAAAUCAAAAUGAUCCCCAAAUUGCUUAUAUCUAAACUUGUUCUGCUCUACACCUUCUCUACUUUCCACUCCUAAAAAGCUUUUGCUCUGUGAUUUCUCUGUGCCCUGCUCUCAGAAAAUCUCUUAAGAUUAUGCUGUAAACUCUUACUUCAGGAUUUUUAACAAAAUUUGGCUUUAAAUUUAUAAAAAAAGACUUGUAAUUAAAAAAUCUACACAUAGGUAUAUGCAUGUGAUUCAACUGUUGUUUACUGUGUGUGUGUGUGUGUGUGUGUGUAACUUGUAUUCAACUCUCAUUAAAAAAAAUAAUAAUUCUACUAGGAAAACAUGUUUUUAAGGAGCAACUAUGUGGCUCUCCUUCCUGUUGGCUGAUGACUUCAUCAGGGUGUAAGCAGUCAUUUGGCUGGUGGCUAUCUUUACUAAGGUUAAAGAACUCGCAUGCUAUGAGACUUCACCAUCUUAAGAUGUCAUAAAACAACAAUUGUAAAACUUCUUAGUCCUAAUGAGCUCUCUGUUUUUCAUUGUAUCUCCUUUUUAUACUAAGGAAGCAACAAGUCUCAAAUAUUUUGGAUUGGCAUAUACUUUUGUAUGAUGGUAAAAAAUUAAGGUUAUAUUUGCUACAACAUACUAAAUAUGUGCUUCAACUCUGGUUUAGAAUAUAUUAUAUAUGGAGAUAAGAUGUUAAGGUUAUAAAAGUCUACUCAGAUUAAUAAAAGCUAACUUAGAGAUUUAUCUAAGUUUUAGAUUUAGCUAACUACUAAUGUCUUUGCUAAGUGUUCAACACCAGCCUGCUAGAAAAUUUAGAUAAGUAACAAAAUAUGUUUGCUAAAUAAAUAUAUUUAAUAAUCAAGAUGUAUAAAUUCCUAAGGUCUACUCAGGUUCACAGUAAUAUUUGUCUAACUUCUCUGUCUUUGCUCACUUUAGGCUUUAGUUAUUUGGAUAAAUUAAGUCAUACAAAACAUCAGUGUUCUAGACCAGGCAGUGGUGGUACAAUCCUUUAGUCCCAGAACUCGGGAGGCAGAGGCAGGCAGAUCUCUGUGAGUUUGAAACAAGCCUGGUCUAUAAGAGCUAGUUCCAGGACAGCCUCCAAAGCCACAGAGAAACCCUGUCUCAACCACCCCCCAAAAACAAAACAAAACAAAAUGUCAGUGUUCUAUAAUGGUAAACUAUAAAAGAAUCAGUAAGCUUGCCAGUCUCCCUAUGAACUGUAAUUAGGAUUAAAAAUUUUAUUUUGAUACUAGAAGAGCUUCAGUUCAAAAAUUGUUAAUUUUUAAGGUUAAACUUAACAGGGAUAGAAUGUUAGUCUUAGUCUUAUAAAAGCUAUUAACUUAUUGUAACAGUUAAGACAUGCAAGCUAAUCGCCAAUCACCUUAUAAAUGAUCAAAUUCAUUAAUGUACUCGACUAAUAUAAUUAAUUACAAGAAUAUGUUUGAUUUAGCCUCCUGUAUAUGUUUUUAAAAUUAAGCCUGAAAAAAAGUAACAAGAAACAAGUGAAAUUGGUUUAGUUUAGAUAUAUAUAUUCAAUAGAUAAUGGAUGCUGAAUAUGGAAUUUAAAGUGUUUAACAACAACAACAACAAAACCUUUUUGUGAUAGACUAUCAGUAUCCCUGAGAUCUCCAAAAAUGAUGGGGCACAAAAGAACUCCACCUGGAGCUUGAUUUAAUAUGACUUAGCCAGCCACUGGGUGAAAAAGUACCUUUCACCACGCCCUGUCCAAACUAUGGACAAGCAGAACACUGGGGAGUUGAUUGUCUGCUUUGCCUAGACAAGGUAGACCAGUCCCCCAAAUUCCUUCUCCCUCAUCCACAGGAAUGUCUGUGAGAUCUUCUGGGCCUGGUGGCCAAAGACUGACACUGUUCUGGGACUUCUGGCCCCAGAGAUCACAGAGGAACCUAGGGUGAUUGUCCAGGUAGCCAGUAAGUUUCUGUCAUUUUUAAUAGAUUCUGGAGCUCCUGGUCUGUACUUCCCACUUACUCAGGUGAAAUUUAUCCUCCUCAGAUUUCUGAUGGUGUUGCCCAUUAGGCUAAUGACAGCUUUCCUAUUUGAUUUGUUUUGUUUUUUGUUUUGUUUUUCGAGACAGGGUUUCUCUGUAGCUUUGGGGCCUGUCCUGGAGCUUGCCCUGUAGACCAGCAGGUCUCAAACUCACAGAGAUCCACCUGGGAUGAAAGGCAUAAGCCACUACCUCCCCCAAGCUUUGCUAGUUUAACAGCAGCAACCAAGGCUUCAGCUGCCUUCUUAAUUCUCUUCAUAUGUAAAAACUCAGGCCUCACUUUCCUAGAGCUACUGCUGGGUCUCCACACAGUCUACUUUGCUACCAGAUUCUAAACAGAAAGAAACUGACAAAACAGAUUUCAGUGUAAAGGUUUGCUACCCCUUUAUUUAAAGGAACUCGAUUUACAAUGGCUGCUCUCAGUAACCACCUGUGUCUCACAAUGGAAAAAAGAUGUAAAGUUUAUGUAAGGUCUGAGGAUCUAAGAAAAUGUUUUAGGGUCUAAGAAGGUGUUUCAAGGUGUGUAAAUGCAAAGGCAUUAGAAAGUGACUUAAGGUAUAUAAAAAUGAAGAAUGUUUCAGAUCUCUUUCCCUCUCUAUGCUAUUGUUAUAUUAAGACUUCAAAAGUUCACAGUUUCAACAUUAAUCAAUGGAGUUCUGUGGAGCUACUACUCUAGCUCUGGUAAGCACUGACUACUAUUAUCGUAGUCAGGAGCUCAAGAUUUUACAUUUCCUUUGGUUGUCUUGUAAGUACAGACUUAACAGUGCUUCUCAUUGUGCUUAAAAAACAACAACAACAAACAAAAAACAAAAAAGUCGGUCUGAUCUAUUUGGACAGAGGAAAGAGUGUUUAUUCUUUUAACCCCAAAUCAUUUUUGGAUUCCCAAGCCUUUGCUAUGACUCAAAGGUGUGAGUCUACACCUUUUCUGCUAUGUAGAUUUCAGUACAUACUACAAACAAUGGUAUUGCUAAUAUAUCUAAAACUCUUUUUGUAAACUUAAAAAAUUCUUGUAAGCUUCAAGGCAUCGACUUGAAUCCACUUAUCACAAGUCAAAUGAUUCUAGAUGAUUACUGUCAAUCAACAGCCUAUUUCCCCAUCUGCCCAUUUUUUUAUUCCUGAUGGUGGGAUAUCCCCUCCCCCCACUCCCUGAUCUUGGGACUCCCCUCCUCCAACUACCAGGACCAUAGACCUGAAAAUUCAAAUAUACACCUAAGAAAAUAUUGUCCCCCUAAACUCCUUAACUUUACUUCUGGCCCGAAUACAUAUCUGUUCUAGCAGCCCGCCAGCUCUAAGUAUUCCCUCAAAAUCUGCAUCCCAGACAGCUUCAAACAGCUAACCUCAGGUGGUUCAACCUCACAGAUAACUGCCUGUGCUUCCUUACCCCCAGAUGGUCUUGCAGAGUCUGGACAGUGAGUGAAACAGCCUGCUCUUCCAGGACUUGGCCAGCAUCCCAGCUUUCUUGGAUCCCCAAAGACAUCGACAACCGACAACCCCAGACAACAGAAAGCGGUUUGAAGAGCAUGGUGUUCCCACUCUCCCCUACCAGUCACCCCUACCUAUUUCCUUACCUUCAUAAUAAACAAAAAGGAGGAAUGUCAGAAACCAGGUGAUCCCCGAGCUCAACAGCUCAGUUUAGAGACAGUGACUCUUGAGCCCAGGAUUGUGAGGGUAAUGGUGACUAUAUUUGUAAGAAAUAAAAUCAGGUGUUCAGUUCCUAACCUAUCAAAGCAAAACUUGUUCAUGACUUGGUGUUCUCCAUGUAGCCUCCCAAGGUGUGUGUGUGGGGGUGGGGAGCAUCCAUAUGAUAGUCAUGGUACUACAGGGCUAGAGAUGUUUCAGUGACUAAGUUUUCUAUGGCAGUGGAAAUCCUCAAAGCUCUAGCCUUUAGUGACCCACAGCCUUCCUAGCCAGGCGCUCAUGAGUCUCUUGAGGCUGUAGGGGAAGUUUAACUGCAGAAAAAGCAGAGGCCUCAGGGUUCAAUCCUACAGGCUUUGAAAAAUAAUUCCAGGAAGACUAUUUGCUAUGACAAGUCCUUUCUAGACCUUCGCCUGAAAAUCUGUAGCACAAAGGUGUGAAAUUUUGUCUCUAUUUAGGGUGCCUCUGUUCCCAAAUGCUCAGCUGUUCUCCCUGAGCUGGGAGAGGGGCCGUCUUCACACAGCCCUAACUAAUGUGUUCCUUCCUUCUCAUCACCUCCCUGUCACCUGUGUGUGUGUGUGUGUGUGUGUGUGUGUGUGUGUGUGUGUGUGUGUGUGUGUGUGUAUGUGUAUGUGUAUGUGUGUGUGAGAUGCAGUAACUUCAGACUGGGAGAUGGCUCCCUUAAUAAGGGGCUUAUCUUGCAAGCAUGAAGACCUGAGCUCUUCCAUCACCCCUAGAACCCAUGUAAAAAUCCAGGCAGUAAUCCUAGCACUAGGAAAGCAGAGGCAGAAAGAUCCCUGGGAUCCACUAGCCAGCCAGUCUAGUCUACUUGCUCCAGGACCAAUGAGAGGUG
This 6216-nucleotide long non-coding RNA is filed under the name Cricetulus griseus (Chinese hamster). RNAcentral's name for it is "lncRNA (ENSCGRG00015041274.1)". The record is from RNAcentral. Lineage: Eukaryota; Metazoa; Chordata; Mammalia; Rodentia; Cricetidae.